AUACGAAAGGUGCAAGCGUUGUUCGGAUUUACUGGGCGUAAAGAGAGUGUAGGUUGUUUAUUAAGUCGGAUGUGAAAUCCCGGGGCUCAACCUCGGAACUGCAUUCGAUACUGGUAGACUAGAGUUCGGGAGGGGUAAGCGGAAUUCCGUGUGUAGCAGUGAAAUGCGUAGAUAUACGGAGGAACACCUGAGGCGAAGGCGGCUUACUGGACCAAUACUGACACUGAGACUCGAAAGCGUGGGUAGCAAACAGGAUUAGAUACCCUAGUAGUCC
This 274-nucleotide ribosomal RNA is filed under the name uncultured bacterium. RNAcentral's name for it is "partial 16S ribosomal RNA". It matches the Rfam family "Bacterial small subunit ribosomal RNA", at positions 523 to 796 of the family's 1533-position model. The record is from RNAcentral.